CCUACGGGAGGCAGCAGUGGGGAAUAUUGCGCAAUGGGCGAAAGCCUGACGCAGCGACGCCGCGUGAGGGAUGAAGGUCUUCGGAUCGUAAACCUCUGUCAGCAGGGAAGAACGGUCACUGUGCUAAUCAGCAGUGAAUUGACGGUACCUGCAAAGGAAGCACCGGCCAAAUCCGUGCCAGCAGCCGCGGGAAUACGGAGGGUGCGUGCGUUAAUCGGAAUUACUGGGGGGAAAGUGCUUCUUGGCGGUAAGUGAAGUCAAGGGUGAAGUCCGCUGGGUCAACGUGGGAACGGCCAUUGAAACUGGCAAACUAGAGUGUGAGAGAGGAAAGUGGAAUUACAGGUGUAGGAGUGAAAUGCGUAGAUAUCUGGAAGAACAACAGUGGCGAAGGCGGCUAUCUGGCUCAUAACUGACGCUGAGGAGCGAAAGCGUGGGUAGCAAACAGGAUUAGAUACCCGUGUAGUC
Molecule: ribosomal RNA, 465 nt
Filed under: uncultured bacterium
Lineage: Bacteria
Description: partial 16S ribosomal RNA
Rfam family: Bacterial small subunit ribosomal RNA
Source: RNAcentral